UCGAGAAUCUCCGGCAAUGGGCGCAAGCCUGACCGAGCGACGCCGCGUGGAGGACGAAGGCCUUCGGGUUGUAAACUCCUGUCGAGGGGGAGGAAGGCGCAAGCUUGACCGAUCCCUGGAGGAAGCACGGGCUAAGUUCGUGCCAGCAGCCGCGGUAAGACGAACCGUGCGAACGUUAUUCGGAAUUACUGGGCUUAAAGCGCGUGUAGGCGGGCCGGCACGUCCGGUGCUGAAAUCCCCCGGCUCAACCGGGGAAGUGGCACGGAUACGACCGGCCUUGAGGGGGGUAGGGGGGUCUGGAACUUCCGGUGGAGCGAUGAAAUGCGUUGAGAUCGGAAGGAACGCCCGUGGCGAAAGCGAGGCCCUGGACCCUUACUGACGCUGAGACGCGAAAGCCAGGGAAGCGAACGG
This 411-nucleotide ribosomal RNA is filed under the name uncultured bacterium. Its description in RNAcentral is "bacterial SSU rRNA". It matches the Rfam family "Bacterial small subunit ribosomal RNA", at positions 355 to 775 of the family's 1533-position model. The record is from RNAcentral.